Molecule: ribosomal RNA, 494 nt
Filed under: uncultured bacterium
Lineage: Bacteria
Description: partial 16S ribosomal RNA
Rfam family: Bacterial small subunit ribosomal RNA
Source: RNAcentral
GACGAACGCUGGCGGCGUGCUUAACACAUGCAAGUCGAACGGAAAGGCCUGCUUUCCCUUGUGGAUUGCGGGUACUCGAGUGGCGAACGGGUGAGUAACACGGGAGUGAUCUGCCCCCAACUUGGGUAUAAGCCUGGGAAACUGGGUCUAAUUCCCGAUAGGACUGCAGGGUGGUGCCUGUGGUGGGAAACGGUUUUCUAGUGGUUGGGGGUGAGCUCGCGGCCUAUCAGCUUGUUGGUGGGGUAAUGGCCUACCAAGGCGGCGACGGGUAGCCGGCCUGGGAGGGUGGACGGCCACAUUGGGACUGAGAUACGGCCCAGACUCCUACGGGAGGCAGCAGUGGGGAAUAUUGCACAAUGGGCGGAAGCCUGAUGCAGCGACGCCGCGUGGGGGAUGACGGCCUUCGGGUUGUAAACUCCUUUCGACCGCGAGGAAGCCACCUGGUUGGAAGGGUGGUGACGGUAGUGGUAGAAGAAGCACCGGCUAACUACGUG